ACAGGAACAUGACCUACGAGGUGAUAGACCAUGCGGCUGAGUCUGUCUGUCACUUCUGUAGGCCGACAUCCUGU
RNAcentral lists this microRNA precursor (74 nucleotides) under Heterocephalus glaber (naked mole-rat). Its description in RNAcentral is "mir-192/215 microRNA precursor family". It matches the Rfam family "mir-192/215 microRNA precursor family". Rfam says of the family: This family represents the human microRNA (miRNA) precursors mir-192 and mir-215. Lineage: Eukaryota; Metazoa; Chordata; Mammalia; Rodentia; Bathyergidae. The record is from Rfam by way of RNAcentral.